GUCCUGGCCUAACGAUGGUACUAGGUAGUAGACCAGACAUGGUUACUGCCGGAGCUAAGUGCUAAGUACCCGCCUGGGAGUAUGGUCGCAAGGCUGAACUCAAGGAAUUGACGGGCUCACACAAGCGGUGGAGCAUGUGGCUUAAUUCGAGGCUACGCGAAGAACCUUAUCCUGGACUUGACAUGUGCGAAAGCGCCAGCAGGUAGGACCCGGAACGGAACGAACGGUAUCCAAAUCCGGAAGCUGGUACAGGUGCUGCAUGGCUGUCGU
This 270-nucleotide ribosomal RNA is filed under the name uncultured bacterium. RNAcentral's name for it is "partial 16S ribosomal RNA". It matches the Rfam family "Bacterial small subunit ribosomal RNA", at positions 793 to 1055 of the family's 1533-position model. The record is from RNAcentral.